Molecule: non-coding RNA, 97 nt
Organism: Mycena latifolia
Lineage: Eukaryota; Fungi; Basidiomycota; Agaricomycetes; Agaricales; Mycenaceae
Source: the annotation of a GenBank genome assembly
GACCCGAUUGCACAACGGUUAGUGCGUCUGCAUUCAGUUACUAUUCAAGAUAAUAUGUUUAUGCAGAAGAUCCCCCGUUUGACUCGGGGUCAGGUCA